UUAGAUGUCCAGGGCUGCACGCGCGCUACACUGGAGGAAUCAGCGUGCUGUAACCAUUGCCGAAAGGCAUUGGUAACCCCUUGAAAAUCCUCCGUGAUCGGAAUCGGGAAUUGCAAUUAUUUCCCUUGAACGAGGAAUUCCUAGUAAAUGUGAGUCAUCAGCUCACGUUGAUUACGUCCCUGCCCUUUGUACACACCGCCCGUCGCUGCCCGGGACUGAGCCGUUUCGAGAAAAGCGGGGACCGCUAGUGUUUCAAUGCUUUUCGAGGUGGAGAUUCAUUGGUGGAAACCGCUUUAAUCGCAGUGGCUUGAACCGGGCAAAAGUCGUAACAAGGUUUCCGUAGGUGAACCUGCGGAAGGAUCA
This 363-nucleotide ribosomal RNA is filed under the name Gongylonema pulchrum. Its description in RNAcentral is "SSU rRNA". It matches the Rfam family "Eukaryotic small subunit ribosomal RNA", at positions 1473 to 1828 of the family's 1831-position model. Lineage: Eukaryota; Metazoa; Nematoda; Chromadorea; Rhabditida; Gongylonematidae. The record is from RNAcentral.